This is a long non-coding RNA of Oncorhynchus tshawytscha (Chinook salmon), 1100 nucleotides long. The record is from Ensembl. NCBI's taxonomy places the organism in Eukaryota, Metazoa, Chordata, Actinopteri, Salmoniformes, Salmonidae.
GGGUGUAGGGAUGUAGGGACUGGGAUGUAGGGAUGUAGGGGUGUAGGGGUGUAGGGACUGGGAUGGGGGGAUGUAGGGGUAUAGGGACUGGGAUGUAGGGGUGUAGGGGUGUAGGGAUGUAGGGAUGUAGGGGUGUAGGGAUGUAGGGAUGUAGGGGUGUAGGGACUGGGAUGUAGGGGUGUAGGGGUGUAGGGAUGUAGGGACUGGGAUGUAGGGGUGUAGGGGUGUAGGGACUGGGAUGUAGGGAUGUAGGGGUGUAGGGACUGGGAUGUAGGGAUGUAGGGGUGUAGGGAUGUAGGGAUGUAGGGACUGGGAUGUAGGGGUGUAGGGACUGGGAUGUAGGGAUGUAGGGGUGUAGGGAUGUAGGGAUGUAGGGGUGUAGGGAUGUAGAGAUGUAGGGAUGUAGGGGUGUAGGGAUGUAGGGAUGUAGGGACUGGGAUGUAGAGAUGUAGGGAUGUAGGGACUGGGAUGUAGAGAUGUAGGGAUGUAGGGGUGUAGGGAUUUAGGGAUGUAGGGACUGGGAUGUAGGGGUGUAGGGACUGGGAUGUAGGGAUGUAGGGGUGUAGAGAUGUAGGGAUGUAGGGGUGUAGGGGUGUAGGGAUGUAGGGAUGUAGGGGUGUAGGGGUGUAGGGAUGUAGGGAUGUAGGGGUGUAGGGGUGUAGGGGUGUAGGGAUGUAGGGAUGCAGGGAUGUAGGGGUGUAGGGAUGUAGGGAUGUAGGGGUGUAGGGAUGUAGGGGUGUAGGGGUGUAGGGAUGUAGGGAUGUAGGGGUGUAGGGAUGUAGGGAUGUAGGGAUGUAGGGGUGUAGGGAUGUAGGGAUAUAGGGACUGGGGUGUAGAGGGAUGUAGGGGUGUAGGGAUGUAGGGAUGUAGGGAUGUAGGGGUGUAGGGAUGUAGGGAUGUAGGGGUGUAGGGAUGUAGGGAUGUAGAGAUGUAGGGAUGUAGGGGUGUAGGGGUGUAGGGAUGUAGGGGUGUAGGGGUGUAGGGAUGUAGGGAUGUAGGGAUGUAGGGGUGUAGGGGUGUAGGGAUGUAGGGGUGUAGGGACUGGGAUGUAGGGAUGUAGGGAUGUAGGGACUGGGAUGUAGGGAUGUAGGGAUGUAGGG